Long non-coding RNA from Oncorhynchus tshawytscha (Chinook salmon), 1216 nucleotides. RefSeq lists it as uncharacterized. NCBI's taxonomy places the organism in Eukaryota, Metazoa, Chordata, Actinopteri, Salmoniformes, Salmonidae. The record is from RefSeq and is a predicted model, not a curated record. The transcript is spliced from 3 exons.
AGGGAAACUGGGACCUGGUAGAAUCCAUUGAAGGGUUUAGGUAAACUGGGACCUAGAAGAAUCCAUUGAAGGGUGUAGGUGAACUAGGACCUGGUAGAAUCCAUUGAAGGGUUUAGGUAAACUGGGACCUAGAAGAAUCCAUUGAAGGGUGUAGGUGAACUGUCUGGGACCUGGUAGAAUCCAUUGAAGGGUUUAGGUAAACUGGGACCUAGAAGAAUCCAUUGAAGGGUUUAGGUAAACUGGGACCUAGAAGAAUCCAUUGAAGGGUUUAGGUAAACUGGGACCUAGAAGAAUCCAUUGAAGGGUGUAGGUGAACUGUCUGGGACCUGGUAGAAUCCAUUGAAGGGUUUAGGUAAACUGGGACCUAGAAGAAUCCAUUGAAGGGUUUAGGUAAACUGGGACCUGGAAGAAUCCAUUGAAGGGUUUAGGUAAACUGGGACCUAGAAGAAUCCAUUGAAGGGUGUAGGUGAACUGUCUGGGACCUGGUAGAAUCCAUUGAAGGGUUUAGGUAAACUGGGACCUAGAAGAAUCUAUUGAAGGGUGUAGGUAAACUGGGACCUGGUAGAAUCCAUUGAAGGGUUUAGGUAAACUGGGACCUAGAAGAAUCCAUUGAAGGGUUUAGGGAAACUGGGACCUAGAAGAAUCCAUUGAAGGGUGUAGGUGAACUGUCUGGGACCUGGUAGAAUCCAUUGAAGGGUUUAGGUAAACUGGGACCUAGAAGAAUCCAUUGAAGUGUUUAGGUAAACUGGGACCUAGAAGAAUCCAUUGAAGGGUUUAGGUAAACUGGGACCUAGAAGAAUCCAUUGAAGGGUGUAGGUGAACUGGGACCUGGUAGAAUCCAUUGAAGGGUUUAGGUGAACUGGGACCUAGAAGAAUCCAUUGAAGGGUUUAGGUGAACUGGGACCUAGAAGAAUCCAUUGAAGGGUGUAGGAAAACUGGGACCUAGAAGAAUCCAUUGAAGGGUUUAGGUGAACUGGGACCUGGUAGAAUCCAUUGAAGGGUUUAGGUAAACUGGGACCUGGUAGAAUCCAUUGAAGGGUGUAGGUAAACUGGGACCUAGAAGAAUCCAUUGAAGGGUUUAGGUAAACUGGGACCUAGAAGAAUCCAUUGAAGGGUGUAGGUGAACUGUCUGGGACCUGGUAGAAUCCAUUGAAGGGUUUAGGUAAACUGGGACCUAGAAGAAUCCAUUGAAGGGUGUAGGUAAACUGGGACCUGG